GACGAACGCUGGCGGCGUGCUUAACACAUGCAAGUCGAACGGAAAGGCCCUGCGUUUGUGGGGUGCUCGAGUGGCGAACGGGUGAGUAACACGUGAGUAAACUGCCCUUGACUUUGGGAUAACUUCAGGAAACUGGGGCUAAUACCGGAUAGGAGCUCCUGCUGCGUGGUGGGGGUUGGAAAGUUUCGGCGGUUGGGGAUGGACUCGCGGCUUAUCAGCUUGUUGGUGGGGUAGGGGCUUACCAAGGCUUUGACGGGUAGCCGGCCUGAGAGGGUGACCGGCCACAUUGGGACUGAGAUACGGACCAGACUCCUACGGGAGGCAGCAGUGGGGAAUAUUGCACAAUGGGCGGAAGCCUGAGGCAGCAACGCCGCGUGCGGGAUGACGGCCUUCGGGUUGUAAACCGCUUUCGCCUGUGACGAAGCGUGAGUGACGGUAAUGGGUAAAGAAGCACCGGCUAACUACGUG
This 468-nucleotide ribosomal RNA is filed under the name uncultured bacterium. Its description in RNAcentral is "partial 16S ribosomal RNA". It matches the Rfam family "Bacterial small subunit ribosomal RNA", at positions 28 to 507 of the family's 1533-position model. The record is from RNAcentral.